Small nucleolar RNA from Manis pentadactyla (Chinese pangolin), 135 nucleotides. The record is from RefSeq and is a predicted model, not a curated record. Lineage: Eukaryota; Metazoa; Chordata; Mammalia; Pholidota; Manidae.
AAGCACUGCCUUUGAACCUGAUGUUUCUUGUUUGUAGAUUCAUGGGUAAGCAACAGUGCUAGAGCAUAAAGACUUGUUAUAACUGGGGCUCUUUAGCUCUCAGCUGAACUGCUCUUUUAAAUACAAGGUACAUUG